UGCCAGCCGCCGCGGUAAUACGUACUGUGCGAACGUUAUUCGGAAUCACUGGGCUUAAAGGGUGCGUAGGCGGCGUUGUAAGUCAGAGGUGAAAUCCCACCGCUUAACGGUGGAACUGCCUUUGAUACUGCAGUGCUUGAAUCAGGCUGAGGUCAGCGGAAUGAGUCAUGUAGCGGUGAAAUGCAUAGAUAUGACUUAGAACACCAAUUGCGAAGGCAGCUGGCUAGACCUGCAUUGACGCUGAGGCACGAAAGCGUGGGGAGCGAACAGGAUUAGAUA
RNAcentral lists this ribosomal RNA (279 nucleotides) under uncultured bacterium. RNAcentral's name for it is "partial 16S ribosomal RNA". It matches the Rfam family "Bacterial small subunit ribosomal RNA", at positions 506 to 784 of the family's 1533-position model. The record is from RNAcentral.